RNAcentral lists this ribosomal RNA (218 nucleotides) under uncultured fungus. Its description in RNAcentral is "partial small subunit ribosomal RNA". It matches the Rfam family "Eukaryotic small subunit ribosomal RNA", at positions 663 to 864 of the family's 1831-position model. The record is from RNAcentral. Lineage: Eukaryota; Fungi.
GAGGAGACCAUUCGGUCUAUGUUUUGCAUAGUACUGACUUGGUCGAAUCUUUUUUCUGGGGAGUUCAACAUCAUCUUUACUGCAUGGUGUUGAGGAACCAGGACGAUUACCUUGAGAAAAAUAGAGUGUUCAAAGCAGGCUUAUAUGCUUGAAUACGUUAGCAUGGAAUAAUAAAAUAGGACUUUGGUUCUAUUUUGUUGGUUUUAAGGACCAAUGUC